CCUCUCUCAGGGCCGCAUCUGGAGGGUUUCCAGUACUUUACCAGUCUCGGCUACUGGAGGAAGGGUCAAGCAGAGGCAUACUCAUUCCAUUCCUAGCUUGGCCAGUGGCUAGCGAAAGGAAGGCAGUCUGCUACAAGU
Molecule: small nucleolar RNA, 138 nt
Organism: Ornithorhynchus anatinus (platypus)
Lineage: Eukaryota; Metazoa; Chordata; Mammalia; Monotremata; Ornithorhynchidae
Source: RefSeq, a predicted model, not a curated record